Molecule: ribosomal RNA, 2059 nt
Filed under: activated sludge metagenome
Description: bacterial LSU rRNA
Rfam family: Bacterial large subunit ribosomal RNA
Source: RNAcentral
UCCUGUAGAUGAAAAGGGUCUUAUACUCUUGGUUGUUAAUCUUGAGUAUUGCGAGAACAUGUAAUCUCGCAAGAAACAUCCUGAACUAUCUAGGAAAGGCUAAAUACUUCUAGUGAUCGAUAGUGAACUAGUACCGUGAGGGAAAGGUGAAAAGUAGCCCGAUGAGGGCGUUGAAAUAGUACCUGAAACCAUAUACUUACAAAGAGUCGGAGUCCCGAUUUAUCGGGAUGACGGCGUGCUUUUUGCAGAACGAACCAACGAGUUUAUGUAUGUUGUUGUUUAAGUCCGAAUAGGAUGGAGGCAUAGGGAAACCGAGUGUUAAAAGCGCGAAUUAUAACAAUAUGCAUAAGACCCGAAGCCAGGUGAGCUACCCAUGGACAGGAUGAACCCCGAUGAAAAUCGGGGGAAGGUCCGAAUCCACCAGCCGUGCAAUACUGGGGAAUGAGCUGUGGGUUGGAGUGAAAAGCUAAUCGAACCUGGUAAUAGCUGGUUCUCCUCGAAAUAUGUUUAGGCAUAGCCUCUUGUUUUUCUCCUUAGGGGUAGAGCACUAAAUUGGUUGAGGUGGCGUAAGCCUACUCACUAAAUUAAACUCCGAAUACUAAGGCAGACAGCAAGGGAGUAAGACCGUGGGGGCUAAGCUCCAUGGUCAAAAGGGAAAUAGCCCAGACCGCCAUCUAAGGUCCCAAAAUUAAAUUAAGUGGUAAAAGAAGUGUUUUGUCUUUGACAGAUGGGAUGUUGGCUCAGAAGUAGCCAUCAUUUAAAGAGUGUGUAACAACUCACCAUUCUAUCCCUUUAUUGGGUAUGAUGAGACGCGCUGAAAAUGUAACGGGGCUCAAAUUUAAUACCGAAGAUGCGGAUCUCCGACCUUGCGUCGGAGGUGGUAGAGGAGCAUUUUUCCAACAGUGAAGGUUCGACGUGAGUCGGGCUGGAGUUGGAAGAAGAGAGAAUGUUGGUAUGAGUAACCACAAGUCCGAUGAGAAAUCGGACCACCGAAAGCCUCAGGUUUCCUUGGCAAUGUAAAUCAGCCAAGGGUUAGGCGGAUCUAAGACAAACCCGAAAGGGGUAGUUGAUGUUCAGUCGGUUAAUAUUCCGACCCUUCUAUAUUUUUUCUACGGAGUGACAGGAUUUAGUAGUUGAAGCAGAUUAUUGGAUUUCUGUUUGUAUGUUAAGAAGCCAAGUUAGGCAAAUCCGGCUUGGAUUACUUCAAGACACUCAAGAAGUUUCGGUUUCGAUCGGAACGACUUUAAUGAGCAAGUCCUCGAGAAAAACUUCUAUGUUCGCCAAUCGGCGAAAGAAAUAUAGAAUCCGUACCGUAAACUGACACAGGUGGGCGAGGCGAGAAGCCUAAGGUGAACGGGUUAACCUUCGUUAAGGAACUCGGCAAAACAACGGCCGUAAGUUCGCAAUAAGGCCUUCCCCGAUUUAUCGGGGACGCAGCUAAAGAUUCCUAGCGACUGUUUACUAAAAACACAGGUCCCUGCUAACUCGUAAGAGGAUGUAUAGGGGCUGACACUUGACCAGUGCUGGAAGGUUAAUAGUGCCGGUUGUGGCCGCAAGGUUACAGCUGAGUGCUUGAAGCCCCAGUGAACGUCGGCGAUAACUAUAAUCGUCCUAAGGUACCGAAAUUCCUUGACAUGUAAGUUAUGUCCUGCAGGAAAAGUGUAACGACUGGGAAACUGUCUCAACGAAGAGCCCGGUGAAAAUGCAAUGUCAGUGAAGAUGCUGACUACCCGCGACAAGACGAAAAGACCCCAGGAGCUUUACUAUAUCUUGGUAUUGUUUUAACGAUUUUGAUGCGUAGCGUAGAUGGUAGGAUUUGAAGUCUCGAUUUUGGUUGGGAUGGAUCCGUCAAUGAAACACCAUUCUUUAAAAUUGUUAAAACUAACCCCUCUUAAUAGAGAGGGACAGUGCCAGGUGGGUAGUUUUGGUGGGGCGCUAGCCUCCUAAAAGGUAACGGAGGCGUUUAAAGGUUGACUAGCUCCGGAUGGAAAUCGGAGUGAUAGUGUAAGAGCAUAAGUCAGCUUUACUGCGAGACUGACAGGUCAAGCAGUUGCGAAAG